ACGGCGAAGUGAAGCGGCAACAGCUCAAAUUUGAAAUCUGGCUCCCUUUGGGGGUCCGAGUUGUAAUUUGCAGAGGGUGCUUUGGCGUUGGUGGCGGUCUAAGUUUCCUUGGAACAGGACAUCGCAGAGGGUGAGAAUCCCGUUUGUGGUCGCAUGCCUUCGCCGUGUAAAGCCCCUUCGACGAGUCGAGUUGUUUGGGAAUGCAGCUCUAAAUGGGAGGUAAAUUUCUUCUAAAGCUAAAUACUGGCCAGAGACCGAUAGCGCACAAGUAGAGUGAUCGAAAGAUGAAAAGCACUUUGGAAAGAGAGUCAAACAGCACGUGAAAUUGUUGAAAGGGAAGCGCUUGCAGCCAGACUUGCCCGCAGUUGCUCACCUAGGCUUUUGCCUGGGGCAUUCUUCUGCGGGCAGGCCAGCAUCAGUUUGGGCGGUCGGAUAAAGGCCUCUGUCACGUAUCUUCCUUCGGGAUGACCUUAUAGGGGAGGCGAAAUGCGACCAGCCUGGACUGAGGUCCGCGCAUCUGCUAGGAUGCUGGCGUAAUGGCUGUAAGCGGCCCGUCUUGAAACACGGACCAAGGAGUCUAACAUCUAUGCGAGUGUUUGGGUGUCAAGCCCGAGCGCGUAAUGAAAGUGAACGGAGGUGGGAACCCUCGGGUGCACCAUCGACCGAUCCUGAUGUCUUCGGAUGGAUUUGAGUAAGAGCAUAGCUGUUGGGACCCGAAAGAUGGUGAACUAUGCUUGAAUAGGGUGAAGCCAGAGGAAACUCUGGUGGAGGCUCGCAGCGGUUUCUGACGUGCAAAUCGAUCGUCAAAUUUGGGCAUAGGG
Molecule: ribosomal RNA, 821 nt
Filed under: Helminthosporium leucadendri
Lineage: Eukaryota; Fungi; Ascomycota; Dothideomycetes; Pleosporales; Massarinaceae
Description: LSU rRNA
Rfam family: Eukaryotic large subunit ribosomal RNA
Source: RNAcentral